This 480-nucleotide ribosomal RNA is filed under the name uncultured bacterium. RNAcentral's name for it is "bacterial SSU rRNA". It matches the Rfam family "Bacterial small subunit ribosomal RNA", at positions 29 to 525 of the family's 1533-position model. The record is from RNAcentral.
AACGAACGCUGGCGGCAUGCCUAACACAUGCAAGUCGAACGAGACCUUCGGGUCUAGUGGCGCACGGGUGCGUAACGCGUGGGAAUCUGCCCUUGGGUUCGGAAUAACAGUUAGAAAUGACUGCUAAUACCGGAUAAUGUCUUCGGACCAAAGAUUUAUCGCCCAGGGAUGAGCCCGCGUAGGAUUAGCUAGUUGGUGAGGUAAAGGCUCACCAAGGCGACGAUCCUUAGCUGGUCUGAGAGGAUGAUCAGCCACACUGGAACUGAGACACGGUCCAGACUCCUACGGGAGGCAGCAGUGGGGAAUUUUGGACAAUGGGGGCAACCCUGAUCCAGCAAUGCCGCGUGAGUGAAGAAGGCCUCGGUUGUAAAGACUCUUUUGUUCAGGGAAGGAAACGGUAGGAUUCUAAUACAGAUUGCUAAUGACGGUACCUGAAGAAUAAGACACCGGCUAACUAACGUGCCAGCAGCCGCGGUAAGU